AUUCAAAUAAUAUUUUAUGUAUUUCAAUCAAAGUUUUAAGUGCCCAUCGGUACGAGCCGUAUCCACCGUGCCGUACCGUGUCAACAAGAUAUCAGCACGAUUCAGACCCUGUGCCGAUGGCACGGCUCAGAAACCUCUAUUUUUUAAAUUAGUAAGUAAUUUCCUCAAUAAAGUUCAAAAGAUGUGAUAAAAAGAUAUAAUAAAUAGUUAGAAUAUUUUGUUGCUAAAGAUGUGAUAAAAAGAUAUAAUGUUAUAAUGCAGCAUGUAGGG
This 270-nucleotide long non-coding RNA is filed under the name Ananas comosus (pineapple). RNAcentral describes it as "long non-coding RNA (ACOM_LNC022176)". Lineage: Eukaryota; Viridiplantae; Streptophyta; Magnoliopsida; Poales; Bromeliaceae. The record is from RNAcentral.